GUGAGGAAUUUUCCGCAAUGGGCGAAAGCCUGACGGAGCAAUGCCGCGUGAAGGAUGAAGGCCUAUGGGUUGUAAACUUCUUUUCUCAGAAAAGAAUUAUGACGGUAUCUGAGGAAUAAGCAUCGGCUAACUCUGUGCCAGCAGCCGCGGUAAGACAGAGGAUGCAAGCGUUAUCCGGAAUGAUUGGGCGUAAAGCGUCUGUAGGUUGUUUAAAAAGUAUUCUGUCAAAGAUUAGGGCUUAACCCUAGAUAGGCAGAAUAAACUUUUAAGCUAGAGUUUGGUAGAGGCAGAGGGAAUUCCCGGUGGAGCGGUGAAAUGCGUAGGUAUCGGGAGGAACACCAAAGGCGAAGGCACUCUGCUGGGCCAAUACUAACACUGAGAGACGAAAGCGAGGGGAGCAAAUGGGAUUAGAUACCCUGGUAGUCC
RNAcentral lists this ribosomal RNA (426 nucleotides) under uncultured bacterium. Its description in RNAcentral is "partial 16S ribosomal RNA". It matches the Rfam family "Bacterial small subunit ribosomal RNA", at positions 354 to 796 of the family's 1533-position model. The record is from RNAcentral.